CAAAUUUCAACCCUAGUUAUUCUCCCGCAAUUUUUUUUUCUCACUUUUCUCUCCAGACGACCUUAAUUUGCCAUUCUCUAUAAUCUCUCUCUCGGUCUGUCUGUCUGUCUGUCUGUCUCUCUCUCUAUUACUUUCUUCUUGCUGGUUUGAUUUGGGUAGCUGAUUGUGGGUUGAUUUUCGGAAUGGGCAGUGCAGUAAUGGAAGAAGAUGAAGGAGGGAUGAGCUCACUACCAAGGAAGAAGAAAUGGGUAAGGUGAAUUUUUUUUUGGGCUUUUCGUCAGUUACCUCCCUCUCUUUAUUCGGUUGGGGCGGCAGAGCAGCGCCUAGGCAAGUGGGUCACGGGCCCGACGCCGGAAAACAUCAUAAUCCUUUGGAUCCCUACGUUUUCCGGUGACCAAAUACGGUGGAGAGGCUUUUUGGUAUGUGUUAAUUUCUGUUGAUUUCGUUACAUAUGUGUUUUGAUUUGGUUGGUGAGCCAUUGGCCUUAGUGGGCAGGGGAAUUAGAACUGAAUAAAGCUGGGAGAGUUUUGAAUGCAAUGUGAUUCUUGCAAUUAAUUGCGUAAGGGAAAAAGAGCGUAUCAUUUUUUAGAUGCCAUUUCCUUCCAUUUAGUUAUUUCAUUACUAAAAAUUGCCAAAAUGGGUUUUUCUCUCCCUGACCCGAAUUCAGGGCUUUCUUUGCCUUAGCAUGUUUCCGUAAAAGUACCUUGAGAGGUUUGUUGUUUUUUUUUUUUAGUCUGUUUGUUUCAAGAGAGCGUCUUGGUUACUGAGGUUGCACAAAGGUGGCUUUUGUGCCACCAAUCCAAUCUUACCAGACUUAAUUUUAGAAAAAAAAAACCCUGCUGCACUAGAUUAUAUACCAGGUUUGAGGAAAUAAAAACUUCAAAAAUUAAUUUUUUUUUAAAAAAAUAGAAGUGGUGGCUGCCAACCGGCAACCGGCAGCCACCACAAGUGGGCGUUGGGGGUGGCUGUGCAGCGGGGAAUGGCUUGCGCGGCCACCCCCUGGGUGGGGAUGGCUGCGUCGGAAAGCGUGAGGGAGAGAGUUCUGGCGGAGAGAGAGAUCUGGCCGAGAGAGAGGGGGGAGAGAUCCAGGCCACUGGGGCGGCUCGUGGCCACCCCCCAGGCCACAGGGGGUGGCUCGCGUGGCCACCCCUCUCCAUUGCAAAACCUUUUUUUUUUUUUUGUUUUUUUCUUUUUUUAAAUGAUUAAACCUGAUAUAAUCAGGUGGUUUGGUUUUAUUUUGGUAAUGUGUUCCAUGAUAAGGUGGUAGAUGAUGAAUGGUUGGCACAAAAGAGGACUUUUGUGGAACCUUAGUAUAUAAGUUAUUCUCUUGUUGUUUCAAUAUCUGUGAAGUUCAGCAAGUUGUUGCAAAUGUUAGAUGUUUACUUUCUGUAGGGUGUUUGAUAAUGUUUUGGAGAGAGAUUUGUUAGGAAACAAGAAAAAAGAACUGGAAAUUUUGUUGUAUUUGGUGGUUUAGUUAGUUGCUUUUUGGUGGGUAUCAUGCAGUUCCUGGAUUUAUUGGUCUAAAUUGACAAUUCAAGUCGAGUUUUGGGUUUACUCUGAAUCUGGUUCUGGUAAUGCUACUGUUUUAGAUAAAUUAUGGUUGUUUCUCACAUUUUGGGGGCAUAGAAUUUGUUGUGAUGGUUGGUCAAUGUUACCAAAAUUUGUUUUUGUUUUUUUGUUUUUGUCUUUGGGGGCUGUAGGCUUUUUUUACGUUACUUAAAGCUAGAUCCUGCACCGAAAUAUCAAAGAUCGAAUAUCCUAUUUGAAAACCUUAGUAAGGCAGAAACUCAAACCUUAUUCUUUGUAUGGUGGAAAGAAAUUUGUUUUAGUCUAGCUUUCAUUUACCCUCACGGAAAAGUAACAUUGCUAGCCAUCUGGGCCUCAUAAUCUUUCUUUUUCACUAAACAAGGGUAAGCAACAACAAUGCCUACAUGCCCACAUAAACAAAUAGGAAAAGAAGAGUAGCUAGUCAUGUGCUUUGCUUGGGUUGAUCAUAGAGUGUAUCUAUAAAGAACCAGCUAUUCGUCUCAGAAGAAACAAAUAGCAAAGGAACAUGCAGAAUAUCCAAACUAAAAGCUUCAUCAUCCUCCUCUUGGUACUAUGAAUAUAGCAAGGUUCUUGAUAUUGAGGAGGGGCAGGCUGUGAGUGAAGAUGAAGAUGAGAUGGAACAUGGGAUAGAAUAUGUUGAGGGUUAUGAUGAACUUGAAGAGGAAGAUGAUAUAGAAGAUUUUGGUGAUAUUGCAAUUGCUCAGUCUCAUGCGGAUUACGACAAUGAUGAGGAAGAGGUUGAGCAGUUGCUGGCAAGAGAGUGAGGAAGGAAACUGCCUUGGCUUCAGGAAAGCUUGAUAAAGGUGAACCUGGUGCAAAAUUGAAGAAGAGAGCAAGGGUGCUUGUUGAGUUGAGCAUGAAGAUGCUGAUGAAAGACUGUUGGCUGUCCACUAAGGGCUUGUAGCAUAUUGCUUUAUUUGUUUGACCUGUAAACCGGAGAAUGGCAGAGAUAUCAUUCAAAGCUCAGUCCACAGCGAGGGAAAGUUACUAAAGAGGAUGCAAUUUUGAUAGCUGAAUCUUGAUUACGGUUGAAAGAUUUUCUUAAUUAGGUACUGGCGUUUCUUGAUUUCCUCUAGUUUUAUUAAUUAUUAUUGGUUUCCUCUCUUUGGGAGAAGGGGCUGUACAAGAGUGCAAUAGUGGACACUUGAAGUCUUUCUGGUCCCAGUUUUUUGUUUAUGUCACUGCCUCUCAGAAAUGCAAUAUGCUUGCUUAGGUUUUCCAGAUUAGAGCAAGUACCAUUUCAUCACUGUCAUCAUUUGUGUGAUUCGUCUUAUAAAACAUUAAGUUGUGAGUUCCAGUCAAAUUUUAUA
Molecule: non-coding RNA, 2858 nt
Organism: Corylus avellana
Lineage: Eukaryota; Viridiplantae; Streptophyta; Magnoliopsida; Fagales; Betulaceae
Source: RefSeq, a predicted model, not a curated record